CGUAGGUGGCAAGCGUUGUCCGGAAUAUUGGGCGUAAAGCGCGCGCAGGCGGUCCUUUAAGUCUGAUGUGAAAGCCCACGGCUCAACCGUGGAGGGUCAUUGGAAACUGGGGGACUUGAGUACAGAAGAGAAGAGUGGAAUUCCACGUGUAGCGGUGAAAUGCGUAGAGAUGUGGAGGAACACCAGUGGCGAAGGCGACUCUUUGGUCUGUAACUGACGCUGAGGCGCGAAAGCGUGGGGAGCAAACGAGGAUUAGAUACCCUGGUAGUCCACGCUGUAAACGAUGAGUGCUAAGUGUUAGAGGGUUUCCGCCCGUUUAGUGCCUGCAGCUAACGCAUUAAGCACUCCGCCCUGGGGAGGUACGGCCGCAAGGCUG
RNAcentral lists this ribosomal RNA (376 nucleotides) under uncultured organism. RNAcentral's name for it is "bacterial SSU rRNA". It matches the Rfam family "Bacterial small subunit ribosomal RNA", at positions 526 to 896 of the family's 1533-position model. The record is from RNAcentral.